CUUAUUUAACGGCCGCGGUAUCCUAACCGUGCACAUAAUCACUUGCCUAUUAAUUGUAGGCUAGAAUGAAUGGGUUAACGAAUAAAAACUGUCUCAAUUAAUUACUAAAAUUAUUCUCUAUUUGAAGAAAAAUAGAUAAUCUCGAAGGACAAAGACCCUAUAGAGCUUAAUCUUACUUAUAGAAUUACUACUAUAAUGAUAUUCGGUUGGGGCGACCAUGGACUAAUAAAUCAUCCAUUAAAUAAAAGAUAUAUUAAUCAUACAAUUGAUCCUUCUAUGGACCACAAGACCAUUACCUUAGGGAUAACAGGCUAAUCCCACUUAAAGUCCUUAUCAACAGUGGGGUUUGGCACCUCGAUGUUGGCUUAGGGAAUCUAUAUAAAGCAAAAUUAUAUAAAGAUGGUUUGUUCCAACAAUACCCUACUGAGCUGAGUUCAGACCGGGUAAGCCGUUAGCUUCUAUCCUCGACUAAUAUCUACUCCUAGUACGAGAGGACCUGAGAAUAAUACUUACAUAAAUUCAUA
This 524-nucleotide ribosomal RNA is filed under the name Amynthas hupeiensis. RNAcentral describes it as "partial 16S ribosomal RNA". It matches the Rfam family "Bacterial large subunit ribosomal RNA", at positions 1919 to 2720 of the family's 2925-position model. Lineage: Eukaryota; Metazoa; Annelida; Clitellata; Crassiclitellata; Megascolecidae. The record is from RNAcentral.